RNAcentral lists this ribosomal RNA (109 nucleotides) under Bacteroidales bacterium. The record is from RNAcentral. Lineage: Bacteria; Pseudomonadati; Bacteroidota; Bacteroidia; Bacteroidales.
UUAGGUGACUCUUGCAACGGGGAACCACCUCUUACCAUUCCGAACAGAGAAGUUAAGCCCGUUAGCGCCGAUGGUACUGCAUUUGUGGGAGAGUAGGUCGUCGCCAAUU